Molecule: ribosomal RNA, 590 nt
Filed under: Saccharomyces cerevisiae (brewer's yeast)
Lineage: Eukaryota; Fungi; Ascomycota; Saccharomycetes; Saccharomycetales; Saccharomycetaceae
Description: eukaryotic LSU rRNA
Rfam family: Eukaryotic large subunit ribosomal RNA
Source: RNAcentral
AGCACCGAGCAUGCCUUAGUACGGCGAGUGAAGCGGCAAAAGCUCAAAUUUGAAAUCUGGUACCUUCGGUGCCCGAGUUGUAAUUUGGAGAGGGCAACUUUGGGGCCGUUCCUUGUCUAUGUUCCUUGGAACAGGACGUCAUAGAGGGUGAGAAUCCCGUGUGGCGAGGAGUGCGGUUCUUUGUAAAGUGCCUUCGAAGAGUCGAGUUGUUUGGGAAUGCAGCUCUAAGUGGGUGGUAAAUUCCAUCUAAAGCUAAAUAUUGGCGAGAGACCGAUAGCGAACAAGUACAGUGAUGGAAAGAUGAAAAGAACUUUGAAAAGAGAGUGAAAAAGUACGUGAAAUUGUUGAAAGGGAAGGGCAUUUGAUCAGACAUGGUGUUUUGUGCCCUCUGCUCCUUGUGGGUAGGGGAAUCUCGCAUUUCACUGGGCCAGCAUCAGUUUUGGUGGCAGGAUAAAUCCAUAGGAAUGUAGCUUGCCUCGGUAAGUAUUAUAGCCUGUGGGAAUACUGCCAGCUGGGACUGAGGACUGCGACGUAAGUCAAGGAUGCUGGCAUAAUGGUUAUACAAAAGCCCGUCUAGAACCACGGACCCA